RNAcentral lists this ribosomal RNA (305 nucleotides) under uncultured bacterium. Its description in RNAcentral is "partial 16S ribosomal RNA". It matches the Rfam family "Bacterial small subunit ribosomal RNA", at positions 506 to 807 of the family's 1533-position model. The record is from RNAcentral.
ACAGCAGUAGCCGCGGGAAUACGUAGGUGGCAAGCGUUGUCCGGAAUUAUUGGGCGUAAAGGGCUCGCAGGCGGUUUCUUAAGUCUGAUGUGAAAGCCCCCGGCUCAACCGGGGAGGGUCAUUGGAAACUGGGAAACUUGAGUGCAGAAGAGGAGAGUGGAAUUCCACGUGUAGCGGUGAAAUGCGUAGAGAUGUGGAGGAACACCAGUGGCGAAGGCGACUCUCUGGUCUGUAACUGACGCUGAGGAGCGAAAGCGUGGGGAGCGAACAGGAUUAGAGACCCGAGUAGUCCCUGUCUCUUAUAC